This is a long non-coding RNA of Alosa alosa (allis shad), 342 nucleotides long. RefSeq lists it as uncharacterized. The record is from RefSeq and is a predicted model, not a curated record. The transcript has 3 exons. Lineage: Eukaryota; Metazoa; Chordata; Actinopteri; Clupeiformes; Clupeidae.
UAUUGAUUAGACGUUACUGAUAAUCCUCUUAAGAAAAAUAAUAUUCUUUAUCUAACUCUAAUCUAACUUUUUCUAAAUCUAUCUCUCAUAUUGAAUCAUUUUACCUUUCCUUAUAUCUAUUUUUCUACGGAUUGUUGAAGACCUGUGUUGUUUGAACCUCGAACUCCGAGGUUUUAAAAGGACAAUGCCACAGCCCUCCCCUCUGCCAUAUCCAUCUGCUUUAUUGGAGAAAGGUUUGCUAGUGCCAUCAGGCAGAGUGAAGGGCUACUAAGGAGGAGGAGCAGGCACUGUCCAGAGCAAAUGAAGGCCCAGUGAGAUUGAAAGUGUAGGAGAUUCUGUUGG